This 1443-nucleotide ribosomal RNA is filed under the name uncultured Bordetella sp. RNAcentral describes it as "partial 16S-23S ribosomal RNA intergenic spacer". It matches the Rfam family "Bacterial small subunit ribosomal RNA". The record is from RNAcentral. Lineage: Bacteria; Pseudomonadati; Pseudomonadota; Betaproteobacteria; Burkholderiales; Alcaligenaceae.
AGUUCGAUCAUGGCUCAGAUUGAACGCUGGUGAUGGCUUUACAAGUCGAACGGGCAGCACGGACUUCGGUCUGGUGGCGAGUGGCGAACGGGUGAGUAAUGUAUCGGAACGCCUAGUAGCGGGGAUAACUACGCGAAAGCGUAGCUAAUACCGCAUGCCUUCGGGGGAAAGCGGGGACCUCGGGCCUCGCACUAUUAGAGCGGCUGAUAUCGAUUAGCUAGUUGGUGGGGUAACGGCCUGCUCACAUGAUCCGUAGCUGGUUUGAGAGGACGACCAGCCACACUGGGACUGAGACACGGCCCAGACUCCUACGGGAGGCAGCAGUGGGGAAUUUUGGAUACUUCCGGGAACUCUGAUCCAGCCAUCCUGCGUGUGCGAUGAAGGCCUUGGUUGUAAAGCACUUUUGGUGAAGAAACGGCACGUGAUAAUACCCCGUGCAACUGACGGUACCUGCAGAAUAAGCACCGGCUAACUACGUGCCAGCAGCCGCGGUAAUACGUAGGGUGCAAGCGUUAACUGAACGAUUGCCAGCGUGCGCAGGCGGUUCGGAAAGAAAGAUGAAAUCCCAGAGCUUAACUUUGGAACUGUAUUUAACUACCGAGCCAGAGUGGUGAAGUCAGAGGGAGGUGGAAUUCCGUGUGUAGCAGUGAAAUGCGGUGAUAUGCGAGGAACACCGACGGCGAAGGCAGCCUCGAUAACACUGACGCUCAUGCACGAAAGCGUGGGGAGCAAACAGGAUUACGACCCUGCAGUCCUCACGCCCCAAACGAUGUCAACUAGCUGUUGGGGCCUUCGGGCCUGGUAUGGCAGCUAACGCGUGAAGUUGACCGCCUGGGGAGUACGGUCGCAAGAUUAAAACUCAAAGGAAUUGACGGGGACCCCGCACAAGCGGAUGAUGUGGAUUGAAUUGAUGCAACGAAAACCUUACCUACUCCUUGACAUGUCUGGAAUCCCAAAGAGAUUUGGGAGUGCUCGUAAGAGAACCGGAACACAGGUGCUGCAUGGCUGUCGUCAGCUCGUGUCGUGAGAUGGGUUAAGUCCCGCAAUGAGUGGAACCUUGUCAUUAGUUGCUACGAAAGGGCACUCUAAUGAGACUGCCGGUGACAAACCGGAGGAAGGUGGGGAUGACGUCAAGUCCUCAUGGCCCUUAUGGGUAGGGCUUCUACACGUCAUACAAUGGUCGGGACAGAGGGUCGCCAACCCGCGAGGGGGAGCCAAUCCUGCAGAAAACCCGAUCGUGGUCCGGAUCGCAGUCUGCAACUCGACUGCGUGAAGUCGGAAUCGCUAUAGUAAUCGCGGAUCAGCAUGUCGUAGAAUAUGCCUCCGGGUCUUGUACACACCGCCCGUCGCACCAUGGAGUGGGUUUUACCAGAAGUAGUUAGCUCAACCGUAAGGAGGGCGAUUACCACGGUAGGAUUCAUGAUCAGUGAAUGUAACAUGUAA